CGAGCGAUGACAUUGUAUUCAGAUGCUAUACCGCAUUAAAGCUACACGGCAUUGGUGUAAGGAUGAAAGGAUGGUUUCGGCUAUCACUUUACGAAUGAACCCGCGUUGCAUUAAGUUUAGUUGUGAGGUAAAGGGCUCACAAGACCGUGAUGCAUAGCCGACCUGAGAGGGUAAAUCGGCACACCUGGGACUGAGACACGGGCCCAGACUCCUACGGGGAGGCAGCAGUAGGGAAUCUUUCCACAAUGGACGAAAAGUCCUGAUGGAGCAACGCCGCGUGAGUGAAGAAGGUUUUCGGAUCGUAAAACUCUGUUGUUGGAGAAGAAUGUAUCUGAUAGUAACUGAUCAGGUAGUGACGGUAUCCAACCAGAAAGCCACGGCUAAUCUACGUGCCAGCAGCCGCGGUAAUACGUAGGUGGCAAGCGUUGUCCGGAUUUAUUGGGCGUAAAGCGAGCGCAGGCGGUUUCUUAAGUCUGAUGUGAAAGCCUUCGGCCUCAACCGAAGAAGUGCAUCGGAAACUGGGAAACGUGAGUGCAGAAGAGGACAGUGGAACUCCAUGUGUAGCGGUGAAAUGCGUAGAUAUAUGGAAGAACACCAGUGGCGAAGGCGGCUGUCUGGUCUGUAACUGACGCUGAGGCUCGAAAGCAUGGGUAGCAAACAGGAUUAGAUACCCUGGUAGUCCAUGCCGUAAACGAUGAGUGCUAGGUGUUGGAGGGUUCCGCCCUUCAGUGCCGCAGCUAACGCAUAAGCAUCCGCUGGGAUGCCCCCCCA
This 771-nucleotide ribosomal RNA is filed under the name Latilactobacillus sakei. RNAcentral's name for it is "bacterial SSU rRNA". It matches the Rfam family "Bacterial small subunit ribosomal RNA", at positions 137 to 873 of the family's 1533-position model. The record is from RNAcentral. Lineage: Bacteria; Bacillati; Bacillota; Bacilli; Lactobacillales; Lactobacillaceae.